GCAGGGAGCGCCGCGGAGGCUGCUGCGGCGCCGGCGGAGGGGCUCGUGGGGUCGCUCCAGGGGGUGGAGGUGUUCGACCUGAGCGGGAAGGCGGUGCCCGUCGCUGAUCUGUGGAGAGACAGGAAGGCUGUGGUUGCGUUCGCCCGUCAUUUCGGGUGUGUUCUAUGCCGAAAGAGGGCCGACCUUCUGGCGGCUAAGCAGGAGGCAAUGGAAGCUGCAGGAGUAUCUCUUGUUUUAAUCGGACCAGGUACUGUUGAACAGGCAAAGGCGUUUUCUGAUCAAACCAAAUUCAAAGGAGAAGUAUAUGCCGAUCCAGAUUACUCAUCAUAUAAGGCUCUGGAAUUUGCCAAUGGCUUAUUCUCAACAUUUACUCCAUCGGCGGGUCUGAAGAUUAUACAACUGUACAGGGAAGGAUACAGGCAGGACUGGGAACUGUCAUUUGAAAAGAACACCAGGACGAAAGGCGGAUGGUAUCAAGGGGGGCUCCUUGUUGCAGGCCCAGGCAUCGACAACAUCUCCUACAUCCACAAGGACAAAGAAGCUGGAGAUGACCCUGAAAUGGAGGAUGUUUUGAGAGCUUGUUGUUCCUAG
Molecule: ribosomal RNA, 591 nt
Filed under: Triticum aestivum (bread wheat)
Lineage: Eukaryota; Viridiplantae; Streptophyta; Magnoliopsida; Poales; Poaceae
Description: partial small subunit ribosomal RNA
Source: RNAcentral